CUGAUGCUGAUUUAAAGGGUCAUUUUUGUAUCUACCGUUGAAAUUCAGUAUUGGGUCCAUAUGGCAAUUUCCGAUGAUAAAAUCUCUUUCUGUAUUAAUUUUCUCCUUUUAUGAAGAGGCCCACACUGGGUCCCCAUCAGCCCAUUUCCAAAAGCACCACGACAGAUGACUUUAUUUUAAUUUGUAAAAACUUUGAUGUUUGCGAACUUGGCUCCUGUACAGUCCUAAACUACCAGCAGGAGGUAAUAGCUUCCAGGACUAAACUUUACUUGAUUUCCCACUGUUCUUCGUGCUCGCUGAUUUGUGCUUUAAGGGGGAACUAUUCAUUUUCAAGCUGAAUUUCCCUCUGUACAGAGCUCGCUGUUAUUCUAGGAACCAUUCAAUAUUCAUAUUCAAGGCCCCAUUCUUGAAAAUCAAUGCCAACAUAAGGCCUGAGAAGAGUGGGUAGAAAAGUGAAUAGAGGGAGCUGAGUCAUGAAAACCUGGAUGAUUUGGGAAAGGGAGAGGAGGAAACAGACACAAAAUGCCCAGGAGCUGGAUUAGCAAGGACUGAUGACAAAGGGAUGCCUCUGCCCACUAAGGGCAUUCUCAACAGAGGCAGGAGAGAAGCUGGGCAAAACAUCUCUGCAGGCUUCAAAAAGGUAAGUCUAACCCUAACCCUUCCACCACUCCCAAGCACUCUUUAAAAACCCUUGAUGGCAGCAUCCAUAAAAAUGUCAGGCAGUAUUGCCAUGACCCUGCUGUGCCCCCACCCCCCAUGGAAAGCUUGACCAGGCAUCCUCAGAUGCCCAGCACAGGAGCAGCCUUAAUGCAGGUACAGCUUUUAGCCAGGGGUCAAAUGCAGACAGGGAUGCAUCAAGAGCCCAUGCUGGAGCAAGAUGCCUUCUGCAGCCUCCAGGCUAUGCAGCCUACCCCGAAGGACUGAGCUCUUUUCGCAGAGAAAAGACAAUCCUGAAACUUAAUGCACUUUUACAAGAGACAUCAUGCUCCCCCACCCUCAAAUGGCUUUGGUUUGGUGCCCGGAACAUCUGGUCACCCUAUAGCCUUUUUUUUAUCCAGUAGAUUCAUUUUCUCAGCACACUGCCGACUGCCAACAGAUGAGCUGCAACUGCUGGCACCGGGGAGCCAGCGAGACAUCAGCAUGCAAGAAGUAUUGCCAAUUCUUUUAUCAUCACCAGUUUGUAGAAACAAGGAGCUGUCUUCCUUUAAAAGAAAACAGACAGACCACCCCAGUGUCAGCCCAGCCUUCAAAGGGGCCUUUUUGCUGGAGGAAACCAAGGACAGGUCCAGCCUGAGCCACCCCUACACUGCGGACAAGUCCCCAUUGCACUGGCUGUGUGACCUGCACCCAUCAGGAUGCUCUCAGGGCAGGACAGUGCCAUGCUAGGAUGCUGCUGCUUAGCAAUAAUGUGGUAGCUGCCAGCACCUCAAGGUGAGUUACCAGCAGGUGAAAGCCCACAGCUCACCUGCUCAGUAGCACCUGCCCCCAUAAAGCCCCACUGCAUUUGCUAUG
This is a non-coding RNA of Coturnix japonica (Japanese quail), 1512 nucleotides long. NCBI's taxonomy places the organism in Eukaryota, Metazoa, Chordata, Aves, Galliformes, Phasianidae. The record is from RefSeq and is a predicted model, not a curated record.